Molecule: ribosomal RNA, 434 nt
Filed under: uncultured bacterium
Lineage: Bacteria
Description: bacterial SSU rRNA
Rfam family: Bacterial small subunit ribosomal RNA
Source: RNAcentral
UGGCGGCAUGCCUAACACAUGCAAGUCGAACGGGAUCCUGGCUUCGGCCAGGUGAGAGUGGCGGACGGGUGAGUAACGCGUGGGAACCUGCCCAUUGGUCUGGGAUAACUGCGGGAAACUGCAGCUAAUACCGGAUGUACCCGAGAGGGGAAAGAUUUAUCGCCGAUGGAGGGGCCCGCGUCAGAUUAGGUAGUUGGUGAGGUAACGGCCCACCAAGCCUACGAUCUGUAGCUGGUCUGAGAGGAUGAUCAGCCACACUGGGACUGAGAUACGGCCCAGACUCCUACGGGAGGCAGCAGUGGGGAAUAUUGGACAAUGGGGGCAACCCUGAUCCAGCAAUGCCGCGUGAGUGAUGAAGGCCUUAGGGUUGUAAAGCUCUUUUACCAGGGACGAUGAUGACGGUACCUGGAGAAUAAGCCCCGGCUAACUUCGUG